This 305-nucleotide ribosomal RNA is filed under the name uncultured bacterium. RNAcentral's name for it is "partial 16S ribosomal RNA". It matches the Rfam family "Bacterial small subunit ribosomal RNA", at positions 508 to 807 of the family's 1533-position model. The record is from RNAcentral.
ACAGCAGCCGCCGCGGGAAUACGUAGGGUGCGAGCGUUAAUCGGAAUUACUGGGCGUAAAGCGUGCGUAGGCGGUUCGUUAAGUCUGUUGUGAAAGCCCCGGGCUCAACCUGGGAAUGGCAAUGGAUACUGGCGAGCUAGAGUGUGUCAGAGGAUGGUGGAAUUCCCGGUGUAGCGGUGAAAUGCGUAGAGAUCGGGAGGAACAUCAGUGGCGAAGGCGGCCAUCUGGGACAACACUGACGCUGAGGCACGAAAGCGUGGGGAGCAAACAGGAUUAGAUACCCGCGUAGUCCCUGUCUCUUAUAC